RNAcentral lists this ribosomal RNA (440 nucleotides) under uncultured bacterium. RNAcentral's name for it is "partial 16S ribosomal RNA". It matches the Rfam family "Bacterial small subunit ribosomal RNA", at positions 338 to 795 of the family's 1533-position model. The record is from RNAcentral.
CCUACGGGAGGCAGCAGUGGGGAAUAUUGCACAAUGGGGGAAACCCUGAUGCAGCGACGCCGCGUGAGUGAAGAAGUAUUUCGGUACGUAAAGCUCUAUCAGCAGGGAAGAAAAUGACGGUACCUGACUAAGAAGCCCCGGCUAACUACGUGCCAGCCGCCGCGGUAAUACGUAGGGGGCAAGCGUUAUCCGGAUUUACUGGGUGUAAAGGGAGCGUAGACGGCAGCGCAAGUCUGGAGUGAAAUCCCAUGGCUUAACCAUGGAACUGCUUUGGAAACUGUGCAGCUAGAGUGCAGGAGAGGUAAGCGGAAUUCCUAGUGUAGCGGUGAAAUGCGUAGAUAUUAGGAGGAACACCAGUGGCGAAGGCGGCUUACUGGACUGUAACUGACGUUGAGGCUCGAAAGCGUGGGGAGCAAACAGGAUUAGAUACCCCGGUAGUC